UUUGUCUGUACAGGUAAUGCUCCGCGCUACUGCUGCGGCUAUUGCUUUGUUUCGGCCUUUUUAUCAUUAUGUCCUUAUGCUUAAAGCCUGCGUGUUUUCACUGCAGAGCAGCGACCGAGUGCUCCGUGUGGCGUGCUCCGUUUUUAUUUCAUGGUUCUCUCGAGCGGUGGUAGAUGUCUGCUGUUGUGUGGGUCUCUCUCUCCCUCCCUCUCGCUGUGCAGGUUUGACUUUGAAAACAGGGAAUGCUCAUCAGCUGGCCGAAGUCUACAGGUGGUGAUUGAUGUGACUCCACCACCAGCUGAUUGGGGCCGCUGCUGUUUUGUCUCCACUGCAAAAUGCGGCUUUGUCUGCUUUUUGUCUCGGCUGCUAAAUGCUGCUAAUUGUACAGCUUUCUCUGCUGCUAACUACACAGUCUACUCUCUGCUGCUGAAUGUACAGCUUUGCCUACAGUCUUGUCUGCUGCUGUGUCUCGGCUGCUAACUGCACAGCUUUGUUUUUGCCGCGAACUACACCGCGUGUCGCUACUGCUUGGCACUGUUGUUGCUGGCUUUUGGUUCGCAUGGUGAAUUGCCGACACCAGACUUUUAACUGGUUUAUUCCUUCAAUUUUAGCCUAAUGACUAAUGUUGUAUUUUCUUGUUUUGAUUAAGUAAAUUGUUUUUGUUUACUUAUUGUUUUGGUUCACGCUGAUUUUGUGAAUUAUUUCCUGUUGUGUUAUAGGUUUUGUUGUACAUUUUUGAGAUUAAUUUAGUUGUAACCUCUUGUUUGUCCUUCCCAGUGGCUGCAGGCUAGUGGUGCUGGUGACGUGGGUGGUGGUGGUCUUCCUCCUUGUGUGCAGUGUUUCCUUGGAUUUGGUGAUCUCACUGUCUCUGGGUGAACCCUUUGUCUUUAAUUUAGUUUUAUUAAUUCUCCUUCCCCUUCACCUGCCCUUCCCACCAGUAGGCCUCGGCCCCUGAUAAGGUUUCCAUUUUCUUA
Long non-coding RNA from Perca flavescens (yellow perch), 974 nucleotides. RefSeq lists it as uncharacterized. The transcript is spliced from 3 exons. The record is from RefSeq and is a predicted model, not a curated record. NCBI's taxonomy places the organism in Eukaryota, Metazoa, Chordata, Actinopteri, Perciformes, Percidae.